This 1069-nucleotide long non-coding RNA is filed under the name Homo sapiens (human). RNAcentral's name for it is "long intergenic non-protein coding RNA 635". The record is from RNAcentral. Lineage: Eukaryota; Metazoa; Chordata; Mammalia; Primates; Hominidae.
AUAGCAACAGCAGCGUAGCUGAACAUCUUACGGAUGGCCCAGGGCUCCAAAGGCUCGUUUCCUAAGUGAGAGAGAGCCUGGCUGAAGCUGUAUUACCAUUCAUUCUCCAGCCUCCGAAGUCUCAAAGCAUCACUUCCACCAUACUCUAACUGUCAAGACAAACACAAAGGCCCAGAAACUGCCAGACUGUCUUCUGAAGUGGCUAUAAUAUUUACACUCCCAUCAGCAGUGUAGAAGGGGUCUCACUAUGUUGUCUGGAGUGCUGUGGUGGAGUGGAGUGGCUAUUCACAGAGCCUGUUCUGCUGGGACACAGAAUCACUUGCUCCAUCUCAUACAUUGAUGAUGAUUAAUUUGUAUGUGUACCUUCCAAAAAAGAUGGUUGUGUUUGAAUGGAGGCCUUCUGGACAGGAAAAUAUACAGUGAACCCACAUGUUGAAGCUUUCUAGUAUAAUAAAAAUUUCAACUGUUCUGUUGAAUCAUCUGCCUGAUUGGAGGCUACAGAAAAGAUGUCAUCUUAGGAGUGCUUGCUCUGAGUGAGGCUCAUCUUCAAAUCUGAAUGACCACAAGGAGAUUUGAUUAUACAUGUGAACACCUCAGAAGGCACAGCCCACCCAGAAGGCAGACAGGUCAGGCUGCUUUUUCUUCAUUGCUUGGAUUCAAUCCUCCGGGCGGCUCAGGCUCAAACAUAACUUAAGCAUGAUUAAACUUUAGAAGAAGCUGCCAGGAAGACUGUGAAAUCUUCAUGCCCAAGGAUCCCUAAAAUUAGGAGCAACAACCACUUGGCUCAGACGGUUUAUGGAGGCAAAGGUUUGGAUGGGAUUAGAGAUUUCUAAAUGUGAGUUCGUGUCCUCUGCCAGACCACCUUACUUCCACCAUUCCUCAGCAAAUCAAGAAAAACAGGAGAAAAGACAUGCCUUUCCAUAAGUUAAAUCUAUUCUGUUUUAAUUCUAUAUUAUAUCUGCUGUACAACUUCUUUUGUUUGUAACACCAUAUUGUUGCUAGUAACUGGAAAUUAAUUUUCACAUGCCUCAGCUUAGAAAAAUAAAAAGCAGCCCUGCAUCAAUCCCAA